RNAcentral lists this ribosomal RNA (253 nucleotides) under uncultured bacterium. RNAcentral's name for it is "partial 16S ribosomal RNA". It matches the Rfam family "Bacterial small subunit ribosomal RNA", at positions 524 to 776 of the family's 1533-position model. The record is from RNAcentral.
UACGGGGGGGGCAAGCGUUGUUCGGAAUUACUGGGCGUAAAGUGCUCGUAGGCGGCCAACUAAGUCGGAUGUGAAAUCCCCAGGCUCAACCUGGGAACUGCAUCCGAUACUGGAUGGCUUGAAUUCGGGAGAGGGAUGCAGAAUUCCAGGUGUAGCGGUGAAAUGCGUAGAUAUCUGGAGGAAUACCGGUGGCGAAGGCGGCAUCCUGGACCGACAUUGACGCUGAGGAGCGAAAGCCAGGGGAGCAAACAGG